Molecule: small RNA, 973 nt
Filed under: Histoplasma capsulatum var. duboisii H88
Lineage: Eukaryota; Fungi; Ascomycota; Eurotiomycetes; Onygenales; Ajellomycetaceae
Description: Histoplasma capsulatum H88 hypothetical RNA
Source: RNAcentral
CCAGUCCGGCGGGUCAAGUGCACUCUCUCCCGCCGCGGGCAACUCGACAAGUUUGCCGUCGGACUUGUUUUGAAUGAUCCGGUGCACGUAGCCGUCGCCCACGUAGUCCCAGACACGUUGAGAAGCAAGGUCCAUGGCAAAUGCGUGAGAAGUGUCCUUGAAGUGUGCAAAGGCAUGAGCUUCGUCAUAGCGGCCGCAGCCAAUGUUGCCGCAUAUCAAACAUAGCCACAGAUUCACCUCGGAAUGACACACACGACACUCUGCGGGGCCCUGAUCGAAAUCAAAGGCAUGAGCUGCCCUCUUGCCGAAUUCCUCCUGCGUAUACCGGCAAACAGGACAUCCGCUGCCUUUCCACUUUUGCAGGCAUGUACAGUGGAAAACAUGCUGGCAAAUGAUCCGAGGGCGUUGGAGGCGCCAAUGGUUUCGUAGACAGUGACGUUGAAGAAAGCGUACUCGAUUGAGGAGGGGGGGAUGCUGAGGAUACUAGGCCCUGAUUCGUUGUUGCGGGUGUAAAGGGGUCAUUAUUCAUAUCUGGAAACUUGCUCUCUGUCCCCGGUGCUUCGACCUGAAUCUCGACGGUUUUCACAAAUACGACAUGACACGUUUCAGGCUGUAAAAAUAACAUAGCAAAAUAAUGCAAACAUCAGCAACAAAUCCAGAGCAAGGAUCGAGCCCCUAUCGAACAGGAAAAAAGAGAAAAAAGGGCAGACACCUCACCUCCAUUGAAUUGAACACCUUCCCGUUCCAAGCUCGCUGCCACUCCUUCGCCUUUUUCCCGCUCCGAAACUUCAUUAAAACCAUAUACCGAUUCGCCCGCGCCGUCCUUAUCAUCCGAAAGUGGCUAACCUCGUCCCUCGUCUGGUCGCCCACAAACCCUAAAAAGUCCGACGGAGACAUAUACGACGGGACCGCGAGUAUGCACAAAGUGGAACAAUCCUCCGUGGAAUGGGCGGCCGCGUCUGUUACUGCUGAA